This 74-nucleotide transfer RNA is filed under the name bacterium. RNAcentral's name for it is "tRNA-Arg". It matches the Rfam family "tRNA". Rfam says of the family: Transfer RNA (tRNA) molecules are approximately 80 nucleotides in length. Their secondary structure includes four short double-helical elements and three loops (D, anti-codon, and T loops). The record is from RNAcentral.
GCGCCGGUAGCCCAAUUGGAUAGAGCGCCAGACUACGGAUCUGGAGGCUGGGGGUUCGACUCCUCCCCGGCGCG